UGUGCAGCAUCAUCAAGAUUCACAUCUGUUAAUCACUGCCAAAUUCUGUUUAGUUAUUGAUCCUGAGCCUUCAACAUCUGCGUUGUCUCAGGAGGUGAAUGAAGGAAUGCAGGUGCGACAACAAGGCGUACGGUCUGGGAGAUAUGCCAAAGAAGUCUACAGGGACAAAGGAUGAGAAUCUUGAUGAUGCUGCAU
Molecule: microRNA precursor, 195 nt
Filed under: Elaeis guineensis (African oil palm)
Lineage: Eukaryota; Viridiplantae; Streptophyta; Magnoliopsida; Arecales; Arecaceae
Description: miR172a stem-loop (egu-MIR172a)
Gene: egu-MIR172a
Source: miRBase by way of RNAcentral